Molecule: ribosomal RNA, 492 nt
Filed under: uncultured bacterium
Lineage: Bacteria
Description: partial 16S ribosomal RNA
Rfam family: Bacterial small subunit ribosomal RNA
Source: RNAcentral
AGUGAACGCUGGCGGUAGGCCUAACACAUGCAAGUCGAACGGCAGCACAGUAAGAGCUUGCUCUUACGGGUGGCGAGUGGCGGACGGGUGAGGAAUACAUCGGAAUCUACUUUUUCGUGGGGGAUAACGUAGGGAAACUUACGCUAAUACCGCAUACGACCUACGGGUGAAAGCAGGGGAUCUUCGGACCUUGCGCGAUUGAAUGAGCCGAUGUCGGAUUAGCUAGUUGGCGGGGUAAAGGCCCACCAAGGCGACGAGCCGUAGCUGGUCUGAGAGGAUGAUCAGCCACACGGGAACUGAGACACGGUCCAGACUCCUACGGGAGGCAGCAGUGGGGAAUAUUGGACAAUGGGCGCAAGCCUGAUCCAGCCAUACCGCGUGGGUGAAGAAGGCCUUCGGGUUGUAAAGCCCUUUUGUUGGGAAAGAAAAGCAGCAGGUUAAUACCCCGCUGUUCUGACGGUACCCAAAGAAUAAGCACCGGCUAACUUCGUG